RNAcentral lists this ribosomal RNA (505 nucleotides) under uncultured bacterium. Its description in RNAcentral is "bacterial SSU rRNA". It matches the Rfam family "Bacterial small subunit ribosomal RNA", at positions 8 to 518 of the family's 1533-position model. The record is from RNAcentral.
AGAGUUUGAUUCUGGCUCAGGAUGAACGCUAGCUACAGGCUUAACACAUGCAAGUCGAGCGGAACACCUUCGGGUGUUUAGCGGCAGACGGGUGAGUAACACGUAUCCAACCUUUCCCUUACUCGGGUAUAGCCUCGGGAAACUGAGAGUAAUCCCCGAUGUGGUGCACGGAAAGCAUUUUUUGCGCACGAAAGAUUCAUCGGUAAGGGGUGGGGAUGCGUUCCAUUAGGUAGUAGGCGGGGUAACGGCCCACCUAGCCGAUGAUGGAUAGGGGUUCUGAGAGGAAGGUCCCCCACAUUGGAACUGCGACACGGUCCAAACUCCUACGGGAGGCAGCAGUGAGGAAUAUUGGUCAAUGGGCGAGAGCCUGAACCAGCCAAGUAGCGUGCAGGAUGACGGCCCUAUGGGUUGUAAACUGCUUUUGUGCGGGAAUAACGGUCGCCACGUGUGGUGAUGUGCAUGUACCGUACGAAUAAGGAUCGGCUAACUCCGUGCCAGCAGCUGC